This 409-nucleotide ribosomal RNA is filed under the name Histophilus somni. RNAcentral describes it as "bacterial SSU rRNA". It matches the Rfam family "Bacterial small subunit ribosomal RNA", at positions 440 to 850 of the family's 1533-position model. Lineage: Bacteria; Pseudomonadati; Pseudomonadota; Gammaproteobacteria; Pasteurellales; Pasteurellaceae. The record is from RNAcentral.
UGAAGGCGAUUAGUUUAAGAGAUUAAUUGAUUGACGAUAAUCACAGAAGAAGCACCGGCUAACUCCGUGCCAGCAGCCGCGGUAAUACGGAGGGUGCGAGCGUUAAUCGGAAUGACUGGGCGUAAAGGGCACGCAGGUGGUGACUUAAGUGAGGUGUGAAAUCCCCGGGCUUAACCUGGGAACAGCAUUUCAGACUGGGUGACUAGAGUACUUUAGGGAGGGGUAGAAUUCCACGUGUAGCGGUGAAAUGCGUAGAGAUGUGGAGGAAUACCGAAGGCGAAGGCAGCCCCUUGGGAAGAUACUGACGCUCGAGUGCGAAAGCGUGGGGAGCAAACAGGAUUAGAUACCCUGGUAGUCCACGCUGUAAACGAUGUCGAUUUGGGGAUUGGGUGAACACUUGGUGCCCGAA